AUUGAACGCUGGCGGCAGGCUUAACACAUGCAAGUCGAGCGGGGUGAUGGUGCUUGCACUAUCACUUAGCGGCGGACGGGUGAGUAAUGCUUGGGAAUCUGCCUAUUAGUGGGGGACAACAUCUCGAAAGGGAUGCUAAUACCGCAUACGUCCUACGGGGGAAAGCAGGGGAUCACUUGUGACCUUGCGCUAAUAGAUGAGCCUAAGUCGGAUUAGCUAGUUGGUGGGGUAAAGGCCUACCAAGGCGACGAUCUGUAGCGGGUCUGAGAGGAUAAUCCGCCACACUGGGACGGAGACACGGCCCAGACUCCUACGGGAGGCAGCAGUGGGGAAUAUUGGACAAUGGGGGGAACCCUGAUCCAGCCAUGCCGCGUGUGUGAAGAAGGCCUUAUGGUUGUAAAGCACUUUAAGCGAGGAGGAGGCUCUUUUGGUUAAUACCCAGAAUGAGUGGACGUUACUCGCAGAAUAAGCACCGGCUAACUCUGUGCCAGCCGCCGCUGUAA
Molecule: ribosomal RNA, 503 nt
Filed under: uncultured bacterium
Lineage: Bacteria
Description: partial 16S ribosomal RNA
Rfam family: Bacterial small subunit ribosomal RNA
Source: RNAcentral